CACCUUGCGGUAUUCUUCUAGCUUAGCUAGGAUGAUACAUUUUACCUACCGUUUGACAAACUAUGACAUUUACAAGGUAAGUAGUAAUUAGGGAUGCUUAUCUGUGUGCCAAUUUGCAUCCUACAUGGUUAGCUCAUCGUGAUGUCACAGAAAACCUCCUUGCUAGCUGUACAGGCUUUGCUGCAAAAAAAGACAUUUUCAGUGAGCACCUUCCCUCGUUCUGCUCGAUGGUGGACUCUGUCCAGCAAACGCAUUUGCUGUGUGCCUGAAACCUGCUGCACAGAGGCAGAGGAGCUGUGGCAGUGCUGCAGGGAGCAUCAGGACGCCAGAGCUGCCCGAAGGGCCCAAACAUCCAAACCCUCUGCUUCCCUCGGGCUCUGCUGCACGACUAACAAAGCAGGUGGUGCGCAAGCCUAGGUAUUUGAUGUUUCUGAAGAUGAGAUAAAGGAGAAGAACCUCACACACUACCUGUGAAGCCAUGACCGACUCCAGGGACACAAUGAUUUCUUUAACAGUGCUGUGAGUCUCUGUGUGUACGGUAAGUUGUGCUGUGCCUGCAAUCCAAAAUAAAGGCCUGCACAUGCCACCA
This 589-nucleotide long non-coding RNA is filed under the name Anser brachyrhynchus (Pink-footed goose). RNAcentral describes it as "lncRNA (ENSABRG00000017715.1)". The record is from RNAcentral. Lineage: Eukaryota; Metazoa; Chordata; Aves; Anseriformes; Anatidae.